CAAAGACAACAGGUUGACUUAAAUACGCAGGGAGGGUAAUCAGGGAAUGAGACACACCUGGGAAGCAAUCAACAGGUAAGACAGGACAGGGACAGGGCUAAACACAGAAAACCUAAAAAAAUAACUACACAGAAAAUACAGAACACAACAAUUGAAGAUCAAAAUGUAUUCAAUUAUUGUUGAACAACCAUUUUACAGAUUAGCAUAAGCCGGAGGCGUGGAUUUCCAGCGAACACUCUUUACAAGGGAGAGCUGACGCAACCUAAGCUGAUUUAUUUAACUGGAAAAAAAAGAAGUUAUGGAGGCAAUACGGUUCAGAGAAAACCCAACACUCGGCCUGGACGCACAUACUCCACAUCGCGCAGCCUCUGCAGUGACAUUGAUGUCUGUAACUGUGCCAGGACAGGAGAGCUUCUUGAGCGCCCAGCAGCCAAACAAACUGCAGCUUAACUAACCUUGAACUGCUGACAACAUGAAGCGCCAUUAGCAUAAUAAACAAACCCUUCGGAAACACAGCGGCGGGGUGCGUCCAGCCUGCUCUGGCUUCACAA
Long non-coding RNA from Poecilia latipinna (sailfin molly), 551 nucleotides. RefSeq lists it as uncharacterized. The record is from RefSeq and is a predicted model, not a curated record. NCBI's taxonomy places the organism in Eukaryota, Metazoa, Chordata, Actinopteri, Cyprinodontiformes, Poeciliidae. The transcript has 3 exons.